RNAcentral lists this ribosomal RNA (583 nucleotides) under Hydnobolites sp. 6 RH-2012. RNAcentral's name for it is "eukaryotic LSU rRNA". It matches the Rfam family "Eukaryotic large subunit ribosomal RNA", at positions 14 to 599 of the family's 3401-position model. The record is from RNAcentral. Lineage: Eukaryota; Fungi; Ascomycota; Pezizomycetes; Pezizales; Pezizaceae.
GGGUAGGGAUACCCGCUGAACUUAAGCAUAUCAAUAAGCGGAGGAAAAGAAACCAACAGGGAUUGCCUCAGUAACGGCGAGUGAAGCGGCAAAAGCUCAGAUUUGAAAGCUAGCAUCUUUGAUGUUCGCAUUGUAAUCUGUAGAGGAGUGUUCAAGUAUAGCUUUGACCCAAGUUCUUUGGAACAGGACGUCAUGGAGGGUGAGAAUCCCGUUCAUGGUUAUUGUCUUAUACUUAUGUGAACCUCCUUCAAUGAGUCGAGUUGUUUGGGAAUGCAGCUCUAAAUGGGUGGUAUAUUUCAUCUAAAGCUAAAUAUCAGCAGGAGNCCGAUAGUGCACAAGUAGAGUGAUCGAAAGAUGAAAAGAACUUUGGAAAGAGAGUCAAACAGUACGUGAAAUUGUUGAAAGGGAAGCACUUACACCCAGACUUGUUUGCAGUUGAUCAAUUAUCAUUUUUGAUAGUGCACUCAAUUGUUGGCAGGCCAGUAUCAGUUAGAGUGGUGGGGCAAAGGUGUUGAGAAUGUAGCUCCUUCGGGAGUGUUAUAGCUCUUCAUGUCAUGUCACCUGCUCUGACUGAGGUUCGCAC